UAGUAUAAUAAUAUAAGAAAUAAAUACUAAAAAAAAUGGGUUGUUACAACUCUCCCCCACUUAAAAGAUUUUCGGCCUCGAAAAUUACCUCAAACGAACAACUCCGGAUACGAUUCCUUCAUCUUAUCCUCGAGUUCCCAAGUAAUAUUUCCAUUGGAGGCUCCGCCCCAUAUCACUUUCACCAAAGCAAUCUCCUUACCACGAAGCUUCUUCACUUCUCGAUCUUCAAUUCG
RNAcentral lists this long non-coding RNA (233 nucleotides) under Lathyrus oleraceus (garden pea). Its description in RNAcentral is "Pisum sativum (pea) long non-coding RNA (PSAT_LNC020935)". The record is from RNAcentral. Lineage: Eukaryota; Viridiplantae; Streptophyta; Magnoliopsida; Fabales; Fabaceae.